Molecule: transfer RNA, 76 nt
Filed under: Amycolatopsis keratiniphila
Lineage: Bacteria; Bacillati; Actinomycetota; Actinomycetes; Pseudonocardiales; Pseudonocardiaceae
Also listed under: 2 other names
Description: tRNA_Thr_TGT
Rfam family: tRNA
About the family: Transfer RNA (tRNA) molecules are approximately 80 nucleotides in length.
Source: RNAcentral
GCCGCAAUAGCUCAGCUGGUAGAGCAUCUGUCUUGUAAACAGAAGGUCAGGGGUUCGAGCCCCCUUUGCGGCUCCC